Molecule: non-coding RNA, 48 nt
Organism: Echinostoma caproni
Lineage: Eukaryota; Metazoa; Platyhelminthes; Trematoda; Plagiorchiida; Echinostomatidae
Source: Rfam
ACACUGCUGACGAGUCCCAAACAGGACGAAACAGCUGAUGUCCAGUGC